This 465-nucleotide ribosomal RNA is filed under the name Vreelandella stevensii. RNAcentral's name for it is "partial 16S ribosomal RNA". It matches the Rfam family "Bacterial small subunit ribosomal RNA", at positions 338 to 795 of the family's 1533-position model. The record is from RNAcentral. Lineage: Bacteria; Pseudomonadati; Pseudomonadota; Gammaproteobacteria; Oceanospirillales; Halomonadaceae.
CCUACGGGGGGCUGCAGUGGGGAAUAUUGGACAAUGGGGGCAACCCUGAUCCAACCAUGCCGCGUGUGUGAAGAAGGCCCUCGGGUUGUAAAGCACUUUCAGUGAGGAAGAACGCCUGGUGGUUAAUACCCAUCAGGAAAGACAUCACUCACAGAAGAAGCACCGGCUAACUCCGUGCCAGCAGCCGCGGUAAUACGGAGGGUGCGAGCGUUAAUCGGAAUUACUGGGCGUAAAGCGCGCGUAGGUGGCUUGAUAAGCCGGUUGUGAAAGCCCCGGGCUCAACCUGGGAACGGCAUCCGGAACUGUCAAGCUAGAGUGCAGGAGAGGAAGGUAGAAUUCCCGGUGUAGCGGUGAAAUGCGUAGAGAUCGGGAGGAAUACCAGUGGCGAAGGCGGCCUUCUGGACUGACACUGACACUGAGGUGCGAAAGCGUGGGUAGCAAACAGGAUUAAAUACCCUAGUAGUC